AGAAUUGAACGCUGGCGGCAUGCUUUACACAUGCAAGUCGAGCGGCAGCGCGGGGGCAACCCUGGCGGCGAGCGGCGAACGGGUGAGUAAUGCAUCGGAACGUGUCCCGUGGUGGGGGAUAACCCGGCGAAAGCCGGGCUAAUACCGCAUAUGCUCUGAGGAGGAAAGGGGGGGAUCCGCAAGGACCUCACGCCAUGGGAGCGGCCGAUGUCCGAUUAGCUUGUUGGUGGGGUAAUGGCUUACCAAGGCGACGAUCGGUAGCUGGUCUGAGAGGAUGAUCAGCCACACGUGGGACUG
This 297-nucleotide ribosomal RNA is filed under the name uncultured soil bacterium. RNAcentral's name for it is "partial 16S ribosomal RNA". It matches the Rfam family "Bacterial small subunit ribosomal RNA", at positions 28 to 321 of the family's 1533-position model. The record is from RNAcentral.